CUUGACAAAAGUUUGGAAGAC
Molecule: unclassified non-coding RNA, 21 nt
Filed under: Dictyostelium discoideum
Lineage: Eukaryota; Evosea; Eumycetozoa; Dictyosteliales; Dictyosteliaceae
Source: RNAcentral